This 101-nucleotide non-coding RNA is filed under the name Tistlia consotensis USBA 355. RNAcentral's name for it is "alpha proteobacterium USBA 355 Glycine riboswitch aptamer". It matches the Rfam family "Glycine riboswitch aptamer". From Rfam's summary of the family: This family represents the bacterial glycine riboswitch. Glycine riboswitches usually consist of two metabolite-binding aptamers domains with similar structures in tandem. The record is from Rfam by way of RNAcentral. Lineage: Bacteria; Pseudomonadati; Pseudomonadota; Alphaproteobacteria; Rhodospirillales; Rhodovibrionaceae. RNAcentral also lists the same sequence under 1 other name.
GAGUCGUGCGCGGGAGACGCCGGGCAGGGGGAGACCCCGGGCCCGGGGCCGAAGGAGCAACCGCCCCGGAAACUCUCAGGCAAAAGGACCGCGACCGUAGG